GGUGGAGUGGCCGAGUUGGUUAAGGCGCUGUGUUUAGGAAGCCUCGAGUGCCCUGUGAGGGGUGAUUAGAGGAAACUUCUACAUCCGCAGUGGGAAACCGCGCGAGUUCGAAUCUCGUCUCCAUCA
This is a transfer RNA of 126 nucleotides. It matches the Rfam family "tRNA". From Rfam's summary of the family: Transfer RNA (tRNA) molecules are approximately 80 nucleotides in length.